GCCGGGGUGGCGGAAUGGCAUACGCAGGCGACUUAAAAUCGCUCGUGGAAACACAUGCGGGUUCGAAUCCCGCCCCCGGCA
This 81-nucleotide transfer RNA is filed under the name Deltaproteobacteria bacterium. RNAcentral describes it as "tRNA-Leu". It matches the Rfam family "tRNA". Rfam says of the family: Transfer RNA (tRNA) molecules are approximately 80 nucleotides in length. Their secondary structure includes four short double-helical elements and three loops (D, anti-codon, and T loops). Further hydrogen bonds mediate the characteristic L-shaped molecular structure. tRNAs have two regions of fundamental functional importance: the anti-codon, which is responsible for specific mRNA codon recognition, and the 3' end, to which the tRNAs corresponding amino acid is attached (by aminoacyl-tRNA synthetases). tRNAs cope with the degeneracy of the genetic code in two manners: having more than one tRNA (with a specific anti-codon) for a particular amino acid; and 'wobble' base-pairing, i.e. permitting non-standard base-pairing at the 3rd anti-codon position. The record is from RNAcentral. Lineage: Bacteria; Pseudomonadati; Myxococcota; Myxococcia.